Molecule: non-coding RNA, 521 nt
Organism: Sus scrofa (pig)
Lineage: Eukaryota; Metazoa; Chordata; Mammalia; Artiodactyla; Suidae
Source: RefSeq, a predicted model, not a curated record
CCACCACCACCCUGACCUGCAUUGCUGCAUUAACCCAGCACCUGUGUCAUCCUCAUUUUCCUCUUAGUUUCACACUUUACAUGUGCUCGGCCUCCUGCAGUCUCAGCACCAGAGAAGCUCCCUCAGGACAGACUGCUUUCCUUCCUGGGGGAUGGAACCAACAGCUUCCGUGGAUUCGCACAACCCAUCAAGCUGGCAGGAGCUACUCAGUGGCCUUGGGCUUGGAAAUCAAUGAAGUGAAUCUCCUCUUGGAACAAAACCACACGAUGGUAGGCCAGUUUCCACACAUGAUUACGUGACUGACUCACCGAGGGAGUGACCGGGCACACCAGCUGAGGCGGUGACUUCAUUGAGGAAGAGGAAGCUUAGGCUACAUCCCACCAAGGUGUGUCAUUUUCAUCUUAAGAAGAGGAUAGACUUAUGCAAGUUGCCAGGUCGUGUUCUAUCUCCAGGCACUGUUUUCCUGUCUGCCCAUCUUUUUGUAUUUAAAGUUAUCCAGAGAACACGUCCAGUUGAAAAGA